Bos taurus (domestic cattle) is the source of this 479-nucleotide long non-coding RNA. The record is from Ensembl. NCBI's taxonomy places the organism in Eukaryota, Metazoa, Chordata, Mammalia, Artiodactyla, Bovidae.
AGCAAAUAAUUCACGGCUAAUCCUUAGCAUGAAAAUCAAGGUGAGAGCGAAAGCAAGCAAAAGAGGGAGAAAGAGAGAGAACAUCAGGGGAAUGAAUGCGCGAAAGAAAAGAUGACACAGGUCAUGGGAAUCUUCCACCAGAUCACAGGAAGGACGAAGAAAAACAGUGAGAGUUAGACUAUGAGGAGGAGGAGGAGGUGGCAGAGGAGAAGGAGGGGAGCCAACCUGGAGUCUGAGAGAAGAAUCCCGGCGCCACGGUGUAACAGCUGCCUCAGAAAAUACAAAGAAAAGACUACUGAUGGGCUGAACUUUACCAAAUGUAAAGACACAAGAUACUUCAUCAUAACUGCCUUCGUUGAGAGAAAAAUACAUGAGAAAAACAAAGCAUCACUCACCUUUCUUCCUGAGGGGACAAUGAGCCCACGAAUGAAGAGGCUGAUUUUUUUGCUCAAAUUUAUACCCUUUACAUAGUAGGGAAG